AACGAACGCUGGCGGCAUGCCUAACACAUGCAAGUCGAACGAGACCUUCGGGUCUAGUGGCGCACGGGUGCGUAACGCGUGGGAAUCUGCCCUUGGUACGGAAUAACAGCGAGAAAUUGCUGCUAAUACCGUAUAAUGACGUAAGUCCUAAAGAUUUAUCGCCCAGGGAUGAGCCCGCGUAGGAUUAGCUUGUUGGUGAGGUAAAGCUCACCAAGGCGACGAUCCUUAGCNGGUCUGAGAGGAUGAUCAGCCACACUGGGACUGAGACACGGCCCAGACUCCUACGGGAGGCAGCAGUGGGGAAUAUUGGGACAAUGGGCGAAAGCCUGAUCCAGCAAUGCCGCGUGAGUGAUGAA
This 356-nucleotide ribosomal RNA is filed under the name uncultured bacterium. RNAcentral describes it as "bacterial SSU rRNA". It matches the Rfam family "Bacterial small subunit ribosomal RNA", at positions 29 to 412 of the family's 1533-position model. The record is from RNAcentral.